This 466-nucleotide ribosomal RNA is filed under the name uncultured bacterium. Its description in RNAcentral is "partial 16S ribosomal RNA". It matches the Rfam family "Bacterial small subunit ribosomal RNA", at positions 28 to 507 of the family's 1533-position model. The record is from RNAcentral.
GAUGAACGCUGGCGGCGUGCUUAACACAUGCAAGUCGAACGGAAAGGCCCAAGCUUGCUUGGGUCCUCGAGUGGCGAACGGGUGAGUAACACGUGGGUGAUCUGCCCUGCACUUCGGGAUAAGCCUGGGAAACUGGGUCUAAUACCGGAUAGGACCGCAUUUUGGAUGGUGUGGUGGAAAGUUUUUCGGUGUGGGAUGAGCUCGCGGCCUAUCAGCUUGUUGGUGGGGUAAUGGCCUACCAAGGCGUCGACGGGUAGCCGGCCUGAGAGGGUGUACGGCCACAUUGGGACUGAGAUACGGCCCAGACUCCUACGGGAGGCAGCAGGGGGGAAUAUUGCACAAUGGGCGCAAGCCUGAUGCAGCGACGCCGCGUGGGGGAUGACGGCCUUCGGGUUGUAAACUCCUUUCGCUAGGGACGAAGCGUUAUGUGACGGUACCUGGAGAAGAAGCACCGGCUAACUACGUG